RNAcentral lists this ribosomal RNA (721 nucleotides) under uncultured Ruegeria sp. RNAcentral's name for it is "bacterial SSU rRNA". It matches the Rfam family "Bacterial small subunit ribosomal RNA", at positions 31 to 809 of the family's 1533-position model. Lineage: Bacteria; Pseudomonadati; Pseudomonadota; Alphaproteobacteria; Rhodobacterales; Roseobacteraceae. The record is from RNAcentral.
GGACGCUGGCGGCGGCUAACACUGCAAGUCGAGCGCGCCUUCGGGUGAGCGCCGGACGGGUUAGUAACGCGUGGGAACGUGCCCUUCUCUACGGAAUAGCCUCUGGAAACGGAGAGUAAUACCGUAUACGCCCUUUGGGGGAAAGAUUUAUCGGAGAAGGAUCGGCCCGCGUUAGAUUAGGUAGUUGGUGGGGUAACGGCCUACCAAGCCUACGAUCUAUAGCUGGUUUUAGAGGAUGAUCAGCAACACUGGGACUGAGACACGGCCCAGACUCCUACGGGAGGCAGCAGUGGGGAAUCUUAGACAAUGGGGGCAACCCUGAUCUAGCCAUGCCGCGUGAGUGAUGAAGGCCUUAGGGUCGUAAAGCUCUUUCGCCUGUGAUGAUAAUGACAGUAGCAGGUAAAGAAACCCCGGCUAACUCCGUGCCAGCAGCCGCGGUAAUACGGAGGGGGUUAGCGUUGUUCGGAAUUACUGGGCGUAAAGCGCGCGUAGGCGGAUUAGAAAGUUGGGGGUGAAAUCCCGGGGCUCAACCCCGGAACUGCCUCCAAAACUGCUAGUCUAGAGUUCGAGAGAGGUGAGUGGAAUUCCGAGUGUAGAGGUGAAAUUCGUAGAUAUUCGGAGGAACACCAGUGGCGAAGGCGGGUCAAUGGGUCGAUAUUGACGCUAAGGGUGCGAACGUGUGGGAGCAAACGGAUAGAUACCCGGUAGUCACCCGUAACGA